This 844-nucleotide long non-coding RNA is filed under the name Homo sapiens (human). RNAcentral's name for it is "non-protein coding lnc-FRMD8-4:1". Lineage: Eukaryota; Metazoa; Chordata; Mammalia; Primates; Hominidae. The record is from RNAcentral.
AAGUCGCCUACGUGCGCGCCCGGGAGCUGCACACUCUUGAAGUGACCGGCCUGGAGACGGUUGCCCAGAGCAAGGCCCAUGUAGCAUCCCUGGAGGGCCUCAUCCCUGAAGAUAAGGUUGUGCUUCUGGCAGGUUCUCCCUUACAGAAUGAAGCCACCCUGGGUCAGUGUGGGGUGGAAGCCCUGACAACCCUGGAAGUGGUUGGCCGCAGGCUAGGAGUUCACAAUGUCUAAAAGUCAGCUGAUUUUGUGUUAAAAUUCAGUGUCUGGCUUUGCUUCAAAAAUUGGGAAGAUCGGCCGGACGCGGUGGCUCACGCCUGUAAUCUCAGCACUUUGGGAGGCCGAGGUGGGUGGAUCACGAGGUCAGGAGAUCGAGACCAUCCUGGCUAACAUGGUGAAACCCUGUCUCUACUAAAAAUACAAAAAAAAAAAAAAAAAAAAAAAAAUUAGCCGGGCGUGGUGGCGGGCGCCUAUAGUCCCAGCUACUCCGGAGGCUGAGGCAGGAGAAUGGCGUGAACCCAGGAGGCAGAGCUUGCAAUGAGCCGAGAUCGCACCACUGAACUGCAGCCUGGGCAACAGAGAGAGACUCCGUCUCAAAAAAAAAAAAAAAAAAAUGGGGGAGAUCAGGUGACAUUGGGCCUGUGUUCCCACAUACCAGCAAUCUGCCCUAGCUGAGUGGUGGCUGUCCCUUUGGAAGGCUCUACAGUUUGCCACCAUCUCCACACCUCCCUCUUCCAGGGCCAGCCACCAUUUAUCAUCAGGCUUGCGCUGUUGUUUCUCUUAAAGAAAAGUGAAUUCUCUUUUUGUUCCUAUGUCUCUAUCAAAAGUGGGAAAAUGAAAGAUGG